CUUAAAUCUUCUCAUCCACCCUCAGAGACAUUCUUAUUCAAAAGAAAGAACACCGAAAUUGACCUUACCCUGACAAUAUGAUGGCUGAAGGAUUUAUGAUCACUUAUAACAUUUGAAAUUGAGGCGGAACCUGAAGAAUAAGACUCUGGUGAAAGGUCCUAUUUAUGCUUUUGAUGUCUUUCACUUGGACAUUUACCACAUGCCUAUUGGUAGGUUUGUUACAUAGGUCAGUUAAGGUGAUACAAGAAUAAAUAAAACACUAUCCCUAUCCUUU
This 274-nucleotide long non-coding RNA is filed under the name Homo sapiens (human). RNAcentral's name for it is "HSALNT0354249". The record is from RNAcentral. Lineage: Eukaryota; Metazoa; Chordata; Mammalia; Primates; Hominidae.